This 246-nucleotide long non-coding RNA is filed under the name Elaeis guineensis (African oil palm). Its description in RNAcentral is "long non-coding RNA (EGUI_LNC024939)". Lineage: Eukaryota; Viridiplantae; Streptophyta; Magnoliopsida; Arecales; Arecaceae. The record is from RNAcentral.
GUUCCUAUUAGCCAGCUUUUUUGAUCGAGUUGAUCAAUAGAACAGUUGCAUGGUAACAUUGUGUUGUUGUAUAGGGAUCUUUUUCUUAUGAACUUGGAUGCCCAGGAGUGGGUUGAGGGCCGAUUGAAGACUGAUCUGAAUACCAUUAACCCACGAGAACACAACUCUUUUAAAAUUUUGAAUCCAAAGAUAACUGUCAUUGUUGCUCUUGAUCUCUUUGCCUGAGAUUGGAUCGUUGAGGUAGAG